Long non-coding RNA from Mus spicilegus (steppe mouse), 1828 nucleotides. The record is from Ensembl. Lineage: Eukaryota; Metazoa; Chordata; Mammalia; Rodentia; Muridae.
UUCCACUUUGCCAGGACACGUGACAACACUGGGUCAUGCAGGUGACUCCAGGACAAGCUCUCUGUGGUAAAGCCAACAGGCAUCAUACCCUGGAUCAUCCGAAGUCUAACUUAGCACUCAGGCUGGUGUCUGACAUAUUCUUGAUUCACUGGAAAGAGGACUGAAUACUGUCAGUCCCAGCAGUCCUCUGAGGAUGGUUUUAGGAACUCCAUCCUGCAGGAGGGAGGGGCCUGAGAGUGUGUGACACCUGCUCAAAUAACAGUGUCAGAGCCAGGAUUUUGGAUUCUGAGGCCCGAGUUUUUGUUUCCUUGUUUUGUUUUCUCACCAGCGGCCGCCCACCUAGCCACCUGGCAGGCAUUUGGGGGAGAUUCGGAAAUGUUUCCUCUUUGCUGCCAUCCUGUCUAGUAUCUGUGAGACACCCAUCACUCACCAGCUGCAGACAUUCUCCAGAAAGCUUCAGAACACCCUCGCAAAGGUGUCUGUUAUUGCCCCCAUUUUACAGAUGUGGAAGCAGGUUGAAGGAGGCUUCCUAGUGACUGACUGAGCUGCUUCCAGAGGUAAGGGUCAGAGUGACUAGGAUACAGACUGGCGAGGGAUGACCUGCAAACUCAGCUUGGCAAGGGUUGGCAGGAGCAGAGGAGGGUCAGGAGAAGCUCCUAGAAGUCUCUUUCCCCAACUGGCCUUUGAGGGCAGAGUGGAGCUUUGGUAGACUCUUGAUAGGAAUUGUUCUCUGUGCAAGCAAGAACAGAGUUAGGUGGCGUGUAAGCAUUUUAGCCUGGCCUGGGUUGUCCCGAGUCCCUUCUGGUUUCAGUCUUGAACUUGUCCUUCCCUGCAAUGCAGAGAUGCGCAGGUGGGAGGGGAGGAUCUAUAGGCUGCUGUGUACAACUGGUCCUUAAGGUUUCUAUCAACCCCAUCCACAAUUUUUCCCACCAGCCUCCUGCCAGCACCAUGGAGUGAAGAACAGUCUGGCCCAGGAUGCUGAGUUGGAUCCACUUAGACGUUCUCCAGCCCCCCCACCCCCCAGUGCAUCCCUGUCCCUCCAUCCUUGCUGUACAGUGGUCUGCCUUCCUGCUCACAACCAGGCUCGGCAGGGAAAGCAGCCUACUCUUCCAGUUUCCCUGCUUCCUAAACAUUGCUGAUGCCCGAAGGCUGCUCUCAGCUCUUCUCCUGGGUCAGGAUCCUUCCAACAUGAAGAUCUAACUCUGAUGGUCUUGGAGACCACAGACCUUCCCUAGCCUGGUCUGGGAGGGGUGCCUGGCAAAUGCUUUCUGGGCUGACGUGAGUUAUUUGAGCACUCGAGUCGCUAGCAGAAGCACUGCGUUAGCGAGUCCCCUUUGUUUGAACAAACAAGAUUAGAAGCAUUGCACUGUUUGUUCUUCCUGGUGAGGCUCUAGCAAAUCCACACUUUGUGGGACUUCUGGCCUCUGGAGGGCCCCUCAGUGUUUUCUAAAAGCAUAGCCCGUGAGAGUUAAAAUUUGAAUAGAUAUCUCUCAAGAGCUGGUUCUGUAUUCCUGUAUUACCUUGAGACAAAUGUUUGUUAAAAUAUAUAUGUAUUCUAGUUGCUAGAAUACAUGUUGUAAAUACUUGUGUUUGAAAAUGUACACUUCCGGGAUGCUUUGUGGGUUCCUGUGCAUGUUCAUGUGCGACUAGGAAUCUGUUUGUCACAGAUGCUUCCAAGGUCUGGUGGUUGUUUUCUCUAUCCUAAUUAAUCUAUUGACGUAGAAUUAUGCAUCUUUCCCCAUAAGCCGGGAGUGUAUUUAAAAGCUCAUUUCCUUGCCUGAGAUAACAUGCAAAUAAAAGUUAAAGACAAUUGAAACGAUGUCCUGUC